RNAcentral lists this ribosomal RNA (403 nucleotides) under uncultured bacterium. RNAcentral's name for it is "bacterial SSU rRNA". It matches the Rfam family "Bacterial small subunit ribosomal RNA", at positions 355 to 775 of the family's 1533-position model. The record is from RNAcentral.
UGGGGAAUAUUGGACAAUGGGGGCAACCCUGAUCCAGCAAUGCCGCGUGAGUGAUGAAGGCCUUCGGGUUGUAAAGCUCUUUUGGCGGGGACGAUGAUGACGGUACCCGCAGAAUAAGCCCCGGCUAACUUCGUGCCAGCAGCCGCGGUAAUACGAAGGGGGCUAGCGUUGUUCGGAAUUACUGGGCGUAAAGGGCGCGUAGGCGGUCCUGAUCGUCGGAUGUGAAAGGCCUGGGCUCAACCUGGGAACUGCAUCCGAUACGGCGGGACUGGAGUGUGGGAGAGGAUGGUGGAAUUCCCAGUGUAGAGGUGAAAUUCGUAGAUAUUGGGAAGAACACCGGUGGCGAAGGCGGCCAUCUGGACCACAACUGACGCUGAGGCGCGAAAGCGUGGGGAGCAAACAG